CUGGGUUGUCCUGGGUCACGAAUUCGGUUUUCUCAGGAGCCACGCAAAGACACAGAGCAGGUGACUGUAAAUGAAGUGCAACACAUGAAUGUAUUCCCCCUGAGAAAUGCAAUGAACUAUUUUUCCAUCGAUUGCAGUAAGAUUUCAUCAUACAGUGAAAUCAUUCUUCUGAUUCUUUCCAGCUCAAGGAAGAGACAUGGAUUAAACCAAUGGGAAGUGAGGAAAGCAGAGGAGCAAAGAC
Molecule: long non-coding RNA, 241 nt
Filed under: Gallus gallus (chicken)
Lineage: Eukaryota; Metazoa; Chordata; Aves; Galliformes; Phasianidae
Source: RNAcentral